UACGUAGGGUGCGAGCGUUGUCCGGAAUUAUUGGGCGUAAAGAGCUCGUAGGCGGUGUGUCACGUCGGCCGUGAAAACCUGCAGCUUAACUGUGGGCGUGCGGUCGAUACGGGCAUCACUGGAGUUCGGCAGGGGAGACUGGAAUUCCUGGUGUAGCGGUGAAAUGCGCAGAUAUCAGGAAGAACACCAAUGGCGAAAGCAGCUUUCUGGGACGGUACUGACGCUGAGACGCGAAAGCGUGGGGAGCGAACAGG
This 254-nucleotide ribosomal RNA is filed under the name uncultured bacterium. RNAcentral's name for it is "partial 16S ribosomal RNA". It matches the Rfam family "Bacterial small subunit ribosomal RNA", at positions 524 to 776 of the family's 1533-position model. The record is from RNAcentral.